UACGUAGGUGGCAAGCGUUGUCCGGAAUUAUUGGGCGUAAAGCGCGCGCAGGCGGAUCUGCCAGUCUGUCUUAAAAGUUCGGGGCUUAACCCCGUGAUGGGAUGGAAACUACAGAUCUAGAGUAUCGGAGAGGAAAGUGGAAUUCCUAGUGUAGCGGUGAAAUGCGUAGAUAUUAGGAAGAACACCAGUGGCGAAGGCGACUUUCUGGACGAAAACUGACGCUGAGGCGCGAAAGCCAGGGGAGCGAACGGGAUUAGAUACCCCGGUAGUCCUGGCCGUAAACGAUGGGUACUAGGUGUAGGAGGUAUCGACCCCUUCUGUGCCGCAGUUAACGCAAUAAGUACCCCGCCUGGGGAGUACGACCGCAAGGUUGAA
This 375-nucleotide ribosomal RNA is filed under the name uncultured bacterium. RNAcentral describes it as "bacterial SSU rRNA". It matches the Rfam family "Bacterial small subunit ribosomal RNA", at positions 524 to 898 of the family's 1533-position model. The record is from RNAcentral.